This 434-nucleotide ribosomal RNA is filed under the name Adalia decempunctata. Its description in RNAcentral is "partial 16S ribosomal RNA". Lineage: Eukaryota; Metazoa; Arthropoda; Insecta; Coleoptera; Coccinellidae. The record is from RNAcentral.
CUCUUUUUGAAUAUAAUUUAAAGUAGGGCCUGCCCACUGAAUUUUGAAGGGCCGCAGUAUUUUGACUGUGCAAAGGUAGCAUAAUCAUUAGUUUUUUAAUUGAAAGCUUGUAUGAAUGGUUUGAUGAGAAAAUAACUUUCUAUGAUUAAUUUUUUAAAAAACUUUAUUUUUAAGUUAAAAAGCUUAAAUAUUUAUAAUAGACGAGAAGACCCUAUAGAGUUUUAUUAUAUAUUAUUAUUUAUAAAUUUUAGAAUUUUAAAUUUAAAUUUUUUUUAUAAUUUGAUUGGGGUGAUUGAAAAAUUAAUAUAACUUUUUUUUUAUAAAACCAUUGAUUUAUGAUUAAAUGAUCCAUAAAAAUGAUUAAAAGAUUAAAUUACCUUAGGGAUAACAGCGUUAUUUUUUUUUAAAGUUCAAAUCGAAAAAAGAGAUUGCGA